CCCUUAGAUGUUCUGGGCCGCACGCGCGCUACACUGAAGAUGGCAACGAGUUUUUCCUUCGCCGAAAGGUGUGGGUAAUCUUUUGAAACAUCGUCGUGCUGGGGAUAGAUCAUUGCAAUUUUUGAUCUUGAACGAGGAAUUCCUAGUAAGCGCGAGUCAUCAGCUCGCGUUGAUUACGUCCCUGCCCUUUGUACACACCGCCCGUCGCUACUACCGAUUGAAUGGUUUAGUGAGGACUCCUGAUUGGCGCCGCCGCCCCGGCAACGGAGCAGCGGACUGCCGAAAAGUUGUUCAAACUUGAUCAUUUAGAGGAAGUAAAAGUCGUAACA
RNAcentral lists this ribosomal RNA (329 nucleotides) under uncultured eukaryote. RNAcentral's name for it is "partial 18S ribosomal RNA". It matches the Rfam family "Eukaryotic small subunit ribosomal RNA", at positions 1470 to 1796 of the family's 1831-position model. The record is from RNAcentral.